RNAcentral lists this ribosomal RNA (251 nucleotides) under uncultured bacterium. RNAcentral's name for it is "partial 16S ribosomal RNA". It matches the Rfam family "Bacterial small subunit ribosomal RNA", at positions 524 to 772 of the family's 1533-position model. The record is from RNAcentral.
UACGAAGGGGGCUAGCGUUGUUCGGAAUCACUGGGCGUAAAGGGCGCGUAGGCGGCCUGUUAAGUCGAACGUGAAAUCCCCGGGCUCAACCCGGGAACUGCGUCCGAUACUGGCAGGCUUGAAUCCGGGAGAGGGAUGCGGAAUUCCAGGUGUAGCGGUGAAAUGCGCAGAUAUCAGGAGGAACACCGGUGGCGAAGGCGGGGUCUCUGGGGCAACAACUGACGCUGAGGAGCGAAAGCGUGGGGAGCGAA